GGGGAUCUAGCUCAGCGGCAUAAGCGCCUGCCUUGCAAGCAGGCAGUCGUGAGUUUGAUCCCUG
Molecule: transfer RNA, 64 nt
Filed under: Cavia porcellus (domestic guinea pig)
Lineage: Eukaryota; Metazoa; Chordata; Mammalia; Rodentia; Caviidae
Rfam family: tRNA
About the family: Transfer RNA (tRNA) molecules are approximately 80 nucleotides in length. Their secondary structure includes four short double-helical elements and three loops (D, anti-codon, and T loops).
Source: Rfam by way of RNAcentral